RNAcentral lists this non-coding RNA (22 nucleotides) under Arabidopsis thaliana (thale cress). The record is from RNAcentral. Lineage: Eukaryota; Viridiplantae; Streptophyta; Magnoliopsida; Brassicales; Brassicaceae.
AAAGAGUGUGGUCUUACCGGAA